This is a non-coding RNA of Pseudomonas syringae pv. spinaceae, 86 nucleotides long. NCBI's taxonomy places the organism in Bacteria, Pseudomonadati, Pseudomonadota, Gammaproteobacteria, Pseudomonadales, Pseudomonadaceae. The record is from Rfam.
UGCUAUGGCGACUGUGCGCUUGGCACCUUCGGGUGCGCCGGUUCUUAGCUCACCGGUCUACUAACUCGCGUACAGUUGCCGCCUUU